AAGACACUUGCAAUGAAACCAAGACAUAUAUCUACAAAUAUUAGUGCUGCUGAAUAUAUCAGUAGUCCGAUUUCUCCGGAUGGUUCACCCACCUUAGACUCUUUCUAUUCAAAGUUUCACCACCUGAGAAGGAUUUUAGAAGAAGACUCGUCAAGUGAUAGUUCAUCACUCCUCAGCAGCAACUCUGAUGAAGGUUCUUGUAGUACCGAUAGCACCCGUGAUUCAACCAGCACAGAUGACUUCUCCGAUUAUAUUUUUGGUGAUUCAGGGAAUGGCUGGAGCAGCACAUGGAGGAAUUCUGAUUCUGAUUUUUCAUUCACACCAUCUUCAUCAUUGAACUCUAGGCAUUCACCCCUAUCUGAUAUGGACCGGCAUGAUUCAGUUUCUCCAACUGCGAAUAGGUUGCAAAAUCCCACAGGUUCAGGUGGAGGUGUUUCUCUUCUUCGUUGACACUUUACAGCAUAGGGAGUUAGGUAGUAGUAGGAUUAGUAGAUUUGGUUAGACUAACUCUUUUCAGAGAAUAGGAUCAAACCAUUUUAAGGUAAACUCUGGUAGAAAGUGAAGGGAAAGAACAGGUUGAAAAUUGUAUGAAUAGAGAGAUCCUGAGCAGUAAAUAAAGACGAGGGUUGGUCUACCUAAUGUACUCAAUAGGUGGGGUUCUAAAUACUAAGAAAUUAGCCACCCACCCCUCAUUUUGCCUAUAAUAACUAAAAGUAGAUGUAAAUAUAGAUUGUUGUAUGUAAUUGUUUGUAUAAUUUCAAUGGAAUUUAUUUAUUAUUACAAAAACAAACAUUUGAAAUGAUGGAUUAUUUUAUUUUAUAUUUUGGCUCUAAGACUGCCAUUAGAUAGUGAUAGACGAACAAGUGUUAGGUUUUCUGGUUUCUAAGUUCUAAAACUGUUACAUGUAGAAAUGAAUGCAUGUAAUUAUCUACUUGGUGAUUUAUUACAGGGUUAACCAGUGUAUUAGGCACUUUUAAUGGUUUAGAUCUACUCACUAAUUCAAACUAUUGCAUUUCCCUAAUAUUGAUGACUAGAAUGGAAUAAGUGAAUCCCCAUGUAUAUAUAUUGAUCAACUCAUAAUGUUUAGGAUAACUUUAUAGCCUACCCAUUUAUUCAUACAUGAAAAGAAAUGAAUCUCACCUCUCCUUUGCUCUUACUCAUCAUCUCUAUUGAGGACCUCAGCUCUCUCUAUUGGAGAGGCAAAUCAAUUAUUCUACUAUUUACCUUUAGAGGUCUUCGCAGUCUUCAAUUAUCGGUCUGCUAAUGCACAACAACUAUAAUGAUAUAUAUAUUUUAAGGAGUUCUGAUCAUCUCUAGUAGUAUUAGAUAGAAAUGUUAAUAUACACCAUAAAUUUUAAGGAUUUAAAAUUUUAAUUAUUUUUGAAUUAAAUAUUUUCAAAAAUAAUAAAUAUCUUCUUCUCUUCAUAUUCCAGUGGAACGUUCACCUCAAUUCAUUUUUUGGGGUUAGACAACAAAAGCAUGUACAAGAUGAUUGACAGUUUGAAAGCGAUGACUGAAUUUUAUUCACCCCAAUGUAGUAGUUUAGCUCAAAUGGCACCGACUCAAAAAAUAUAGGCUUUGAGUGAAUUUGAUACCUCUUCCUUUUUUUUACCUCGGCUCCCAUUUUCCAACCUCAAAGAAAUGUUACCUAUGUAACCAGGGAAAAACAGAAUAUGAUUUAAAAAGGCCUGCAAAAUUUUCAGUUGACACUGAAAUAAAUUAUCUAAAAAAAUUGGGCUAAAAUCUAUCAAAAAGUCAACAGCUCAUGCAUUUUGUAUUUCUUUUUGCACACCAAAAAUAUAACAUGUUCGUCUAUUAUAUCUUUCCAAAAAACAAGAAAAAAAUAACCCAUAUAAAAGUAAAUGACGUAAUAUUCAUCUAGAUUCCAAACAGGUAAUUUUCAAUAUGAGAAACAUGUUAUAAGAUAAUAGGUCCAUGAUUGUAUGUGGCAUGGGUUUGUUCAAUAUAAAUUAAGUGACAUGCAUUAUUUUAUUCUUUCCUUGUCAGUAAAUGGUGUAUAUUUUUUGCCAUAUUAGAUAAUCAGUAUGAAUGGUUAGGUAUGAUUUUUUUUUGUAGAAUCAAUUUGCUCUUCCACUGUGUAGGAUUUAUUUAUUUUAACUUGUCAACCUUCCUUUCGCAGUUGUUAUGCUAAUGCUGUUCUUCAGUGCUUAGCAUUUACACCACCCUUGACUACUUAUUUCCUUCAAGGACUGCAUUCUAAAGCAUGUAUGUACUCAGACAGUGUUUCUAUCUUGGAACCAUCGUAUGUCAUAUUUAUUAGUUCUCUGUUGUUACUUUUUCUUGAGGUAAAAUAUCUCCUAUGCAAAUUUCAGGUACAAAUAAAAAGUGGUGUUUCACCUGUGAGUUUGAAAGCUUAAUUUUGAAGUCAAAGGGAACAAAAUCUCCACUCUCUCCUAUUGGCAUACUAUCUCAACUACAAAAUAUUGGGAGCCAGCUUGGUAAUGGCAGGGAAGAAGAUGCACAUGAAUUUCUCAGGUAUUUUUUACACAUUUUGGUCUGUGUAAUAUAGCAUACUUAUUGCUCUGUAAUUCAUUUUUAAGUUAAUCAUAUGAAAUACUUGACAGGCAUUCUAUUGACACAAUGCAAUCAGUUUGCCUUAUGGAAGCUUGGGCUAACACACCGAGUUCAUUGGAAGAGGAAACUACUUUAAUGGGUCUUACAUUUGGAGGCUACCUUCGAUCAAAGGUAAUUUAAUAUUUCCAUCUGGAUUCUGGAAAAAUAAUACAUGACUAUCUGUUAUGAUUUUAUUUCUUUCCUGGUUAUAGGUGCAAUACAUUGUUGGUAUGUUUAUGAAAUAAAUAUGGUACUAUUCCUAUCAUUAUAACUUGUUUUGAUUGAAAGUAAUAUGAACAAUGGACUUACACUUCCUAUUUGACAGAUAAAGUGCAUGAAAUGUGGAGGGAAGUCUGAGCGCCAGGAAAGGAUGAUGGAUCUGACUGUUGAGAUAGGAGGGGAGAUAGCAACCUUGGAGGAGGCCCUUCGACGGUUUACAAGUACUGAGACUUUGGAUGGAGAAAACAAGUACCACUGUGUUAGGUUGGUUGAUUUUUGAGAUGUCUCUUGAAAGCUGAGUGUUAUCAUGCAAUAGGAUGUUCCGUUGUUAUUCUUAGAAAAUAUGGAAACUAACUACAUACAAGAGAGCCAGACCUCUGUGAGCCCUCUAAACAGAAACUAACAGAAUAAAAAAAUGGAAAAAAGGUCCCCAGAGUCACUGCAGAUAUCAAGAAACUCUUGGCCUUCUCCCCUUCUCCCAGAGUCAGCGAUUCUUAUGUUUGGCUUUUCUUAGCAUUUAGUAAUGUUCCCCGAGUCUCCCCCUUAUUCCUACUUUCAUACACUAGUAGUCCACUUUUCUUCCUUCUAGAAUAUACUUGGGCUUAGCAUCAAUCAUAUCUUACUCUUGCUUUCAUUAUUAUAACUAACUGAUUAUUAUUUCAGAAGGGAAAUGUUAUUUAGUAUGAAGCGGUUUUCGUAUUUUAUGUGUGAUCAGAUUUUUCUCUCAACUACCAUGAUUUCUGGUAAAUUCAUGAUUUCAUUAGUUUACAUGAAUUUUCUCAACAUCCGUAACAUUGCUAUUCGUACUGAGUAGCCACAAUACAGUGAUGCUUACAGUUUUGAAGUUGGGUUGGGCAUCUAUUUGUUUGUGUUGGCCAUUUCUUUCCCAGGCCUAGGUAAAGGCAUGCUAGAAAAACAGAUGAGUUGUCUGGUCUCAACCUGACUCAGGAUAAUUAGGAGUGAAAAGUUAAACAUUUUUCCAUAUGUUUGACCACCAAGUUGUGAUACUAGCUUUUCACUUAUUAUUUGGAUUUUGGAGUAUUGUUACAUUGGAGUAUUAUUUGAAGUAAUAAUAAUGUGAAAUUUUUUGUACUGGAAUUAUUUUCCUUAUUAUUAAUCAACUCUUUUCAUUUUAAGAUGUAAAUCUUAUGAGAAGGCCAAGAAGAAGCUGACAGUUUCAGAGGCACCUAAUGUUCUUACAAUUGCAUUGAAGAGAUUUCAGGUAUUUCAUGUGCUAAAUUCAAAGACAAUAUGUUGUUACCUACAUUAUUUGCAGCCUGUAUUUAGAGUUCACAUUAUGCUUGUUAUAUAUGCGACAUUGUGUGGCAGUCUGGGAAAUUCGGGAAGCUCAACAAGCCUAUUCAUUUUCCUGAAGUACUUGACUUGGCACCUUUCAUGAAUGGGACUAGUGAUAAAUCUCCUAUAUACAGACUGUAUGGGGUAGUAGUUCACUUGGAUAUCAUGAAUGCUGCCUUUUCGGGUCACUAUGUGUGCUAUGUGAAGAAUAUCCAAAACAAGUGGUUCAAGAUUGAUGACAGUGUGGUAUGUCCCCUCUAUUUCCAUUUGUUUUGUGAAUCUUGAUUCUUGAGAGUAAUCUCUUUCUGUCCUUAAGUCUUAAAUAUACUUUUCUUGAUUUACACUAGUAGCCAUGAUCUUCUCUUUAAGGUCGUAAACUAAAUGUAUAUAACCAAUAUUUAUCAUUACUGCUUUACAAACAUAAUUUAAAAUUUAAGUAUAUAAAGUCAUAAGCUUUACCAAUAUAUGUUUUUUGGAUUUCUUGUAAUUAUGUGGUCCAUGAAUGAAAGGUCCCUAGAAAAUUUCUUUCCAAACUCAUUUUGUUCUGGUAUAAAAUUGUCAAAUCCGGUGGGUGGACACGUCUUCAUAUUAGUGUUCUAUUACAUACAAACCAUAAGGAUGCAUACAAAGUUUUGAUGCUGUUAUUAGUAGUUCCUGUUAGAUGUGUUUGUGUGAGGGAUCAUUUGUAGGAUUUAUUUGAAGUUUUAUCAUCCGAGGGACACUGUUACUGUACUUUGUUUAAUCUUAUGUCUUGCAGGUGAUACCUGUUGAGUUGGAUAGAGUCUUAACAAAAGGAGCAUAUAUGCUUUUUUAUGCAAGGUAACCCAUCUGAUUUUGUUUUUUGUUGGGAAAGGUUCCUUUUAAUUAUACUCUUGUUCACUAUCUGACAAACUGAAUCACCUUGUAGGUGCUCUCCAAGGGCCCCAAGGAUAAUCAGGAACAUCAUAGUAUCCCCAGAUUCAAAAAGUAAGGUCAAUGGAAAGACACUUGCAAUGAAACCAAGACAUAUAUCUACAAAUAUUAGUGCUGCUGAAUAUAUCAGUAGUCCGAUUUCUCCGGAUGGUUCACCCACCUUAGACUCUUUCUAUUCAAAGUUUCACCACCUGAGAAGGAUUUUAGAAGAAGACUCGUCAAGUGAUAGUUCAUCACUCCUCAGCAGCAACUCUGAUGAAGGUUCUUGUAGUACCGAUAGCACCCGUGAUUCA
Molecule: long non-coding RNA, 5294 nt
Filed under: Lupinus angustifolius (narrow-leaved blue lupine)
Lineage: Eukaryota; Viridiplantae; Streptophyta; Magnoliopsida; Fabales; Fabaceae
Description: long non-coding RNA (LANG_LNC002359)
Source: RNAcentral